Molecule: ribosomal RNA, 497 nt
Filed under: uncultured bacterium
Lineage: Bacteria
Description: partial 16S ribosomal RNA
Rfam family: Bacterial small subunit ribosomal RNA
Source: RNAcentral
GACGAACGCUGGCGGCGUGCCUAAUACAUGCAAGUUGAGCGCUGAAGGUUGGUACUUGUACCAACUGGAUGAGCAGCGAACGGGUGAGUAACGCGUGGGGAAUCUGCCUUUGAGCGGGGGACAACAUUUGGAAACGAAUGCUAAUACCGCAUAAAAACUUUAAACACAAGUUUUAAGUUUGAAAGAUGCAAUUGCAUCACUCAAAGAUGAUCCCGCGUUGUAUUAGCUAGUUGGUGAGGUAAAGGCUCACCAAGGCGAUGAUACAUAGCCGACCUGAGAGGGGGAUCGGCCACAUUGGGACUGAGACACGGCCCAAACUCCUACGGGAGGCAGCAGUAGGGAAUCUUCGGCAAUGGACGAAAGUCUGACCGAGCAACGCCGCGUGAGGGAAGAAGGUUUUCGGAUAGUAAAACUCUGUUGGUAGAGAAGAACGUUGGUGAGAGUGGAAAGCUCAUCAAGUGACGGUAACUACCCAGAAAGGGACGGCUAACUACGUG